This 693-nucleotide ribosomal RNA is filed under the name Pediococcus pentosaceus. RNAcentral describes it as "bacterial SSU rRNA". It matches the Rfam family "Bacterial small subunit ribosomal RNA", at positions 714 to 1407 of the family's 1533-position model. The record is from RNAcentral. Lineage: Bacteria; Bacillati; Bacillota; Bacilli; Lactobacillales; Lactobacillaceae.
GGCGAAGGCGGCUGUCUGGUCUGCAACUGACGCUGAGGCUCGAAAGCAUGGGUAGCGAACAGGAUUAGAUACCCUGGUAGUCCAUGCCGUAAACGAUGAUUACUAAGUGUUGGAGGGUUUCCGCCCUUCAGUGCUGCAGCUAACGCAUUAAGUAAUCCGCCUGGGGAGUACGACCGCAAGGUUGAAACUCAAAAGAAUUGACGGGGGCCCGCACAAGCGGUGGAGCAUGUGGUUUAAUUCGAAGCUACGCGAAGAACCUUACCAGGUCUUGACAUCUUCUGACAGUCUAAGAGAUUAGAGGUUCCCUUCGGGGACAGAAUGACAGGUGGUGCAUGGUUGUCGUCAGCUCGUGUCGUGAGAUGUUGGGUUAAGUCCCGCAACGAGCGCAACCCUUAUUACUAGUUGCCAGCAUUAAGUUGGGCACUCUAGUGAGACUGCCGGUGACAAACCGGAGGAAGGUGGGGACGACGUCAAAUCAUCAUGCCCCUUAUGACCUGGGCUACACACGUGCUACAAUGGAUGGUACAACGAGUCGCGAGACCGCGAGGUUAAGCUAAUCUCUUAAAACCAUUCUCAGUUCGGACUGUAGGCUGCAACUCGCCUACACGAAGUCGGAAUCGCUAGUAAUCGCGGAUCAGCAUGCCGCGGUGAAUACGUUCCCGGGCCUUGUACACACCGCCCGUCACACCAUGA